RNAcentral lists this unclassified non-coding RNA (519 nucleotides) under Hevea brasiliensis (rubber tree). The record is from RNAcentral. Lineage: Eukaryota; Viridiplantae; Streptophyta; Magnoliopsida; Malpighiales; Euphorbiaceae.
GGGCCAAACACGUGGACCAGUAAGUGAUCUGGAGACGACUUUCCACCAAAGCAGAUAAGCGGUAACAGCUGAUAGGAUGAUAAAAGCGGUGGAGAUGUCCAUGGAAGUAGCAGAAACGAAACCCUAAAAGGAAAAAUAAAAAUAAUAAUAAAUAAUGCUUGGUGGGUUGUAACUUUCAACCUCGUAAAAAUGCAGAAACUGAGAAGCUAAACAUGAACGGUGGAGGAGAAGAAAGAAAACCCAGAUGAGAGUGAUGAUGAGAAGAAGAUCAAUGGAGGAAGAGAGAAACCCAGAAAAGGUUAUUGGAAAAUAAGUUAAGUUGUGAGAGAUAAGAGUGAAAAGAAGGUGAUGUUUUAUAGAGAAAGGGGAAGCAAUUAAUAAAGAAGGGAGAUGACAGACUGUUGUUGUUAAUUAUGAAAAUUUUCAUGUCAUUUCACUCCCUUUACAAGGGUCUCUCUCUAGCUACCUUCACUCAUCAUCAGCCAUGCAAAAAAGAAACACGGCCAUUAAAUGCCAGCG